UACGUAGGGGGCAAGCGUUGUCCGGAAUUAUUGGGCGUAAAGAGCGCGUAGGCGGUCCGAUAAGUCGGCUGUGAAAGUCAGGGGCUCAACCCUUGAAAGCCGGCCGAUACUGUCGGACUAGAGUCCGGAAGAGGCGAGUGGAAUUCCCGGUGUAGCGGUGAAAUGCGUAGAGAUGCGGAGGAACACCGAUGGCGAAGGCAGCCCCCUGGGCCAACACUGACGCUCAGGCACGAAAGCGUGGGGAGCAAACAGG
Molecule: ribosomal RNA, 253 nt
Filed under: uncultured bacterium
Lineage: Bacteria
Description: partial 16S ribosomal RNA
Rfam family: Bacterial small subunit ribosomal RNA
Source: RNAcentral